Molecule: long non-coding RNA, 5753 nt
Organism: Gallus gallus (chicken)
Lineage: Eukaryota; Metazoa; Chordata; Aves; Galliformes; Phasianidae
Source: Ensembl
CAGGCAAAUGCAUGCUAAAAACCACUUCUCACAGGUGGUCCUUCAUGAGCUGAGGCCCAGCAGGGUGUGGGAGUAACAUCUCUGCCCUCUGCACGACCAUGUUCCCAGAUUUCAGUCCAGCUGAACAGCAAAUAAAAAUAUAACAGCAGGAGAGGUUGUAAUACUUGCUUUGUACAUGGUUUUCUGUCACAUCACAGCUCCCAUGGAAUAGCAGUGAGAUGCGUGAUUUUGCCUGUCUAGAGAUAUAUUCUCUCCUUUCUCCCUCCCGUUGAAAAAGCUCAUGGUCAUUCAAGAACACUGAGAUGGAUAUGAGGCCUUAUGAAUGCUGUGGCCAACGUAUAAUGGAUGGAGCCCAAGUUGGCCUUCAGCCACAGCAGUGACCCAUCAGUCACAGAGGAGGAGAAGUUUCAUUCCCACCUGUUCUUCUCAGCCAUAACUUCUGGAUUUCAGUUUCUGAAGCGUUUGGUCUGAUGUCAGUUUAAAAUGCAUACCCAUCACAACUGCACAGCAUACUGUUCAUCAGCACUGAUUUAAAGGAGCUACUUCAGCUGCAUUCAUUUAUACCUGGAGAGAAAUCUUCUAAAACAUUUCUUUGGAAGUAAGACUUCUGGUAGUAUGGGAAAUUAAACUGAUGCAAACUCCCAGAGAUUGCUGCAGCAAGAGGGGUCAGGUUAGUUUUCAUCACCUAUGAAUCUAACACACCAUAUUCUUUUUUUCAUUCUUUUUUUUCCAUAAUUAUUCCUGUAUUUGCCAAUUACCGGUACCACAGCAUCGUGUGUUCAAACAAACUCAAGUCUUCCUGGCCUCUCCUUGCAUCUUAUUAGAUCCAGCAGUGAAAUCAUCAUGCUAAAUUUGUGCCUUCCUGUUUAUUUCUACCUUGCCAGAUUGCAAGGAGCAGCAAACUGUGUGUUCUUUAUAAAUAAUGAUAGCGCUUUGCAUUUAUAUAACUUUCCAUCUGUGGAUCAAAGAACUACACAAAACAAGGUUUGAUGUUCACAGUUUGUUAUCAUUUUCACUUCAAGUAUAAGGACAGAGGAAGCGUGAAGUUAAAGGUUUCCAUUUACAAGCUAGCUUCGUUGGCUAGGGAAAGGCUUCUUUUGAUUCUCUGAUUUGAUAAGCCCAGGGCGAUUUUAAAGUCCUGAGGCCAUACCUGAAAUGAAGAGAGUAGGUGCCAUAGAACUGUAGGAUGGCUUACUUUAGAAGGGACCUUAAAGCCCAUCCAGUUCCAAACCCCUGCCACGGACAGGGCUACCACCCACCAGAUCAAGCAGCCCAGGGCCCCAUCCAACCUGACCUUGAAUGCCUCCAGGGAUGGGUACACAGCUUCUGUGGGUAGCCCGUGCUUGUGCCUCACUACUCUCUGAAUAAUGAACUGCCUCCAAAUAUCUAAUCAAAAUCUUCCCUCAUUUAGUUUAAAGCCAUUCCUCCUCGGCCUAUCAUUGUCUGCCCAUGUAAAAUUUGAUUUCCCUCCUGCUUAUAAACUGGAAGACUGCAGUGGGGUCUCCCUGGAUCCUUCUCUUCUCCAGGCUGAACAAGCCCAAGUCCCUCAACCUGUUUCUACAGGAAAGGUGCUCCAGCCUUCUGAUCAUCUUCAUGGCCCUCCUCUGGACCCACUCCAGGUCCACAUCUUUCUUGUACUUGGGGCCCCAGGCCUGGAUGCAGUACUGAACAUGGUGCCUCAUGAGGGCAGAGUAGAAAAAGACAGUCACCUCCCUCUUCCUACUGCCACCCCUCUGUUGAUGCAGCCCACGAUUCUCUUGGCCUUCUGGGCUGCAAACACGUACUGCUGGCUCAUAUUAAGUUUUUCAUCUAUCAGAAUCCCUAAGUCCUUCUCAGCAAGGCUGUACUCAAUGAGUUCUUCUUCCGGUUUGUAUACAUAUCUGGGAUUGUUCCAACUCAAGUGCAACAGUUUGCACUUGUCCUUGUUGAACCUCACUAGGUUCUCAUGGGCCCACUUUUCAAGCCUGUCCAGGUCCCUGUGGAUGGCAUCCCUUCUUUUUGUUGUAUCAACUGUACCACUCAGCUUGAUACCGUCUGCAAACUUGCUGAGAGUACGCUUGAUCCCAUCAUCUGUGCCACUGAUAAUGAUUUUAAAGAAUAACUGUCCCAGCACAGACCCCUGGGGUACAUCACACAUCACCAGUCUCCACCUGGAUAUAGAGCCAUUGACUAGAACCCUCUGGCUGCAGUCAUCCAACCAAGGAGGGUACCCAGGACCCUCUCGACACCAGCCUUACCAAAAGCCCGGGGCACUACAGCAUGCACAGGUUUUACUACAAGAAGAUGGGGGAGAGCCUGCCUUGUCUCUGCAGGCAGACCCUGGGUCACCUCAAGCAAAGCAGAGCAUGGUAGCUAUGUUAUCCAUACUGCUGGUCCAAACACACGCACAGCUGCUCAGAGGGGUUUGGUGAAGUGGAUGACUGCUCUAGGAUUAGAUGCUGAAAGCCAAAUGCCAACAACAGGGAGAGGUGUACAUAGCAAAAUUACUCUUCUAAACAGCAAGCCUGGAGUGACCAUUCAGUGAAGCCCAUGUAGCCUUUCUGGCUGUCACCUCCAAGACUGCACGAGCAAAAUCAUUUCUGAGUCAGCAAUCACCUCCUAUUCCAAUACUUUCCAUCAGUGCCUUGCUGUUUUCUCCCUCUAGUACACACAGCUUAAAGUCAGUAUGCCAGGAGGUAGCACCUCAAGUCAAUGGCCUAGAAACUGCUCAAGGUGCCAUUUGUUUUGUGACAGUUUAAUGCUUACAUGUCCUAAUGCACAAGGGAGAACCAAGGUGGGAGUGAAGGGGAGCAGAGAUGCCCUGCAAAAUAUCAGUGAUAACUUUUAAGGCUCUGAAUGGAAUUUUAAGGAGACAGAAGCAAACUAGUUGGCAGAAGAAACCACUUUUAGUCAGAGUACUUUCUUUCAAGCUGGCUUCUUUAUGUCUACUUUAAAGAAAUCUUUCCAUGCUCCCUUCCUCCAAUUUUAGACAUUGCUUUUCCCUCUGAAAGCCUACAACAUGGUGAUUUUGAGCAGCUCUUCCUUUAUCUACUGACUGGAGAUACAUGCCAAAUAAAUACUCUGUAUCCCCUGGUGUGCUCUUAUCCAUCAAAGAACAAGUAUGGCUUUAGGCAGCAUUAAAUCAAUUCCGCAUUUUGUACUGCUUUCUGCUUCCCCCCUUCUUACCAACUGGCCAUAGAACAGCCCCACUCACACACACAAGGCACAGAAUUUGUUUUUCAUGCCAUGUAGUCACCUCAGAAGAGUCAGAGUUUAAAUAUGGCUGCAGGAAAUACAAAGAUAAAGAGCUUGCAGGCAGCUAAUCUGUGCAAGGAAGCUCAGUGCAAUAUCCUUAAAUAAGGAAAACGGCACUUCUGGGCAAUGACUGUACUAAGUCAAGAAUACACUUUAAAUUAACUUUGCUGGAAUAUGUAAAACCAUUGGAUAUGUUAUAUGUGUGACAGCAUACCAAUCCAUAUUUUCUCCAUAUGACCCAGUAUCCUACACCUCAUAAAUAGGAUGCCAAAUCCCACAUGCUCCUGACACAGCCAGCCCUUGCCAAGGGUUUCUUGGGGUAUUUAUGCCCACUUUCUCACCUUCCCCAGAAUAUGAGGCUUCAUAUCCAGGUUACCUUGAAACCGGUCCCAAGCCACCACACAGACCAAGUAUUUUAUUUGUAGGAGAACUGCUGGUUUACCUAUCAUUCAUUCUUGGUGGCAUGUUCUUGUUGCUGCCUCCCUCCACUCAGACACCCAGAGGUAUUAAUUCCCGGUGUCUUAGAGAUGAUCCCGCUAUGUUUGCAAGCUCUUCUCCUAGCACAGAUGGAUGACCCAGUCCUUAGAGGGGUUGUGCUGGAGCAGAAGAUCUCCCUGUGCCAUCAGAAAGAAGGCAAACUUGAAGCAACACAUGGCACUUAUACCGGGCCUGUUUUGAUACAGAAGAAUUUCCCUUGUUACACACACGUGUAACAGACCCAGACUCCAGAGCCUUGCCAGACACACUGCCAAGGAGGCGACAAGACAAUUACAAAGAACAACAAAGAAAAGGCACAUGCGCUGAGAGGGGGAAGGGGCAGAGCUGGCAAGUCGUCCUCCGAGGACAAUGCAAUUCUGCAAGUCUCAACAACACCAAUCAAGAAGUGCAGAUUUUAAUCUUCGCUGUAAUUAACUUUAUCCAAACGAGCAGCAGGCUGGCUGGCUUUGUAUGGGAGUCUUCUAGCAAUUUAAUGUGCCUUUAAAAUGACUUGGCACUUCUAGAGGAAGAGGAGAGGGAGAAGAAGAUUGAUGCGGUGCCAAGCAUUUACUCCCACUAAUGAAAAGGAACUGCUAGGGCUCUUUGAUCAUAUAUUGUACCCUAUUCACUAGGUGCUAUUCAAUGGAAACACUGUUGUUACCACUACAUUUUCCAAACUGACAGCACAAUAAAGUACUUCCCAGCACAUAUGUAGCAUGUAGUGCUAAGUGAAUGGCACAGAUAUUUAAAAUUACAUCCGCAGUGUGUUAAAAUGCAAUGUGGCAUGAAAUAUGUUGCACUCACGCUAAGGCAGUAGAAAUGACAGUCCCUGCAUUUCUGGACCUCCCUUGGCUCCAAGAUUUGCACGAUGCCCUGGCCUGUCGUGCUGUGCAUGUUACCAUGCAGAAGCCAGUGCCGGGAAGGGUUCUCAGUUCAUUCAAGCUUUUUGCUUGAGAAGGGAACGUAUUGCUAAAUCAUAGAAUCAUAGAACAGCCUAAGUUGAAAAGGACCACAAAGAUCAUCUGGUUUCAACCCCUCUCCCAUGGGCAGGGUCACCAACUGCUCGGAUGACUUGCUGUGACUGCCUUGGCCAUCUCAGAGGCAAUGUGUGGAGUCACCAACCCUGGAUGAUUUCAAGAAAAGGGGAGGUGUUGCUCUGAGUGAUGUGGUUUAGUGAUAUGGUGGUGAUGGAUUGAUGGUUGGACAAGAUGAUCUUGGUGGUCUUUACAGCCUUAAUGAUUCUAUGAUUCUAUGAUCUCAGAGCUUGGAGUGGAGCUGAGAGCUCUGAGACAGUGUGCGUGUUGGUGGACAUGGGCUAGGAAAUUUAUGUCAAUGCUUGGCUGGCCAUAGUCAGAUGGCUUAAAUGGUGCAUACUUCCCUGUGAUUAAUGCUUCCUGUUGGUUGGCUUUGACUGUAGUUUCACUCCAUACCUUACUUAUGCGCACAGAAAAAUUUCUUAGAGGUACCACUUUCUCCCCAGUGAGCAAUGAGUAGCACAGAAAUUGUGAUGAAAUGCCUGUGCACUGCCAUGUCUGUGCAGGGAGCUCUGCAUGGUGUCGGCGGGCCAGGGUUAGAUUUGUACCUCUAGCAGCUGCAUAGGAGUUACUUGUAUGAUGUCUUGAGGUUAGUUGCAUAUCUCAAGAGUGACACAGGUAGAGUAGCACCACCAGUUCAGGAAAGAUAAGCAUAGUGUGGCCAAGGUGAGGUAAGCAGCAGUGCCUCAGUGUGCAAAAACCUUUCAGUGCAGCUUAGAUUUGUUUCUCAUCACUCUUCGCUGCUUGUUGCACCACUUACAGUUCAUGGAUCACACAGUCCAUUACUGUCUGAUGCAUUCCUUCCCUGGAGACACAACUAUGCUACUGUUCUUGUAAAGAGAGUUACAUAAUGGAAAGUGCUUCUUUUUGGAUUGGAUUUAGUGCCUAUGAGGUCAAGGUCUUCAUGAAGAUCCUGCAGUACCUCCUUUUAGUAUCAACACCCCAUCCUUUGCAUACUGGCCACACUCCAGCUGCUUGAGUCUGCUCUUCUUUGCAUUUGUGCUGAAC